This is a long non-coding RNA of Ochlerotatus camptorhynchus, 1289 nucleotides long. RefSeq lists it as uncharacterized. The transcript is spliced from 2 exons. The record is from RefSeq and is a predicted model, not a curated record. NCBI's taxonomy places the organism in Eukaryota, Metazoa, Arthropoda, Insecta, Diptera, Culicidae.
AAAUAUUUGGCGUUAAUGUUGGCACUAUAGAAAGGGCUCUUUUACUCACAAGACAAAUUGCGUAUAGACAUGGGGAUUCAAAUAUGGUGAAUUUGAUUGGCCAUGUUCUCAAAAAUCGAGAAAGUGCAUUUAAAAUGUUUACGACUCUCAAAGAUUCGCAUGGAAUGAUGUCACCUGAAGAGGCGUUCGAAUAUUUUUUAGACUGCAAUUUUACUAAAUAUGCAUAUGAGCAAACAGUGAAAAAGAACCCAUCAAGAUUUCCGAGCUACAAUGUAAUUAAGAGUAUGAAACAAGUAUGCUCACCUUCAGCCGAGUCAAUCGAAGAGUCAUCAUCAAAAAUUCAGGUAGACAUAAAUAUCCACAUAUUUUUCCAGUACACCAACUUUAAAUGUUUCUUUCUUUUCAGGUCAAAUUACAGGCACUCAUGAAUCAUACAACAGAAAGAAUCAUUCAAAUCAUCGAUGCGGAAAUCGUCCAACAAAUGAAUAUCAACGAUGACACAGAGCUAGUGCUUUUAAGCAGCUGGGGUAUGGAUGGCUCAACAGGCUAUUCACAAUACAACCAAGCGCUAUCAACGCCAAAUCAAAAAGAUGACAGUGACGUCUUUUCAGUGACAACUACUCCUAUACAACUUUAUUAUAAGAACAACAAGAAAAACAUUUUGUGGCAUAAUUUAACACCCCAAAGCAUUCGGUUCUGUAGGCCAAUUAUGCUGGAAUUUAUCAAAGAGUCAAAAGAGAUGGUGCUUAACACCAAGAGAUAUAUUGAAAAUCAAAUAAGUCAGCUUGUUCCAGUAAAAAUCCAAUUAUCGAAUGGUGAAUAUGUUUUGGUUGAUUUUAUUUUCGUUGUGAGUAUGAUCGACGGCAAAGUUCUUAAUUAUGUAACUGAUACUUCUUCCAUGUCCAACUGUCCAAUUUGUGGAGCUACUCCGAAUGCAAUGAGUGAUAUAGAGAAGUUUGAAGCAGGAUACGAUUCGAACGAAGAUGUUCUGCAUUACGGCAUAUCUCCACUGCACGCUUGGAUGCGAUUUUUUGAGUGUUUAUUACAUAUUUCCUAUAGGAUGGAAAUUAAAACGUGGAAGAUCACGAAGGAUUUAAAGGCCAAAUAUCUUGAACGGAAAAAACUCGUUACUCAAAAAAUGUACGAAGCGUUCGGAGUACGAGUUGAUCAACCCAGGGCAGGCGGAGCUGGGACCAGUACAACAGGAAAUGUGUGUCGAAAAGCAUUUUCAACUCCUGAAUUACUUUCCAAAGUUUUGGAUAUCGACGAAGAGCUUAUUAUUAGAUUUC